This 323-nucleotide ribosomal RNA is filed under the name uncultured eukaryote. RNAcentral describes it as "partial 18S ribosomal RNA". It matches the Rfam family "Eukaryotic small subunit ribosomal RNA", at positions 1470 to 1796 of the family's 1831-position model. The record is from RNAcentral.
CCCUUAGAUGUUCUGGGCCGCACGCGCGCUACACUGACGAAGUCAGCGAGCAUGUCCUACGCCGACAGGUGCGGGGAAUCUUGUCAAACUUCGUCGUGAUGGGGAUUGAUUAUUGAAAUUCUUGAUCAUCAACGAGGAAUUCCUAGUAGACGUAGUUCAUCAGACUGCAUCGAUUACGUCCCUGCCCUUUGUACACACCGCCCGUCGCUCCUACCGAUUGAAUGCUCAGGUGAGCCAUUCGGACUUUCAUCAUGCUGGUUUCCAGUUUUGAUGAAGGAAAGUCUUGCGAACCUUAUCAUUUAGAGGAAGGAGAAGUCGUAACA